AACCAUAGAAACCUGCGGAGUACCUGCGGAAGGAUCAUCAUUGAAAACAAAUUUGGACAAGGGGAUUGUGAUUGACGGGGGGGAGGGGAAAGUUUUAUUUCCUGAGCCUUGAGAGAACAACCUCUUGGACAAAAACAACCAAUCUUCAUGACUAGGAAAAAACACAGUAAAGUAAACCAGUGGUUUGGGGGGGGGCAUAAACAACAAACAAGUUCUUGUCUGACAAGUAGUGUUUGGUGA
This 240-nucleotide unclassified non-coding RNA is filed under the name soil metagenome. RNAcentral describes it as "partial contains 5.8S ribosomal RNA, internal transcribed spacer 2, and large subunit ribosomal RNA". The record is from RNAcentral.